UUAGGUAAGUGGACAUUUUUUUUAUUAAUUGGCAAACCAGGAGAAACAACUGUAUGAAAAGUCCAUAUUAACCUUGUUGUAAUCAAAGGAAUCCAUUUCUAUUUUACUUGCUACCGGCUACUUCCAUUAACUGGCCAAUAGGGUUUUUCAUUGAUGUUUUUCUUCUUUUUCGACUAUUUCUCACAGAUUUACCGUCGACAGUUUUACCGUGGCCAGUAAGCAUACACGACAGUUUGCUCUUCCUUGCCAAGCUUUAGGUUGCUGCUUCUCCAAUCUCUUCCCCAUCCCCAAAUCCAUUCUAUAUUUUGAAUUACAAAAUUUAGGAUUACUUUUAAGAUCGCCGUCGCCAGAGGCCGUUGCGGCGCCCCCAUGAUCUGAUUUCUUUAAUAUGAAGUUUUGAGAUUUUAAGGUUCUUUUUAAAUUUAUUGGAAAUUGUUCAACCAAUUAAAUUUUACUGUCUCUUUUAUAAUUGGUUGACUGAUUUUAUAAUUAUAUCUUUAAAAUACCUUUUUAGAGAAAUGUAAUUUUCUUAAUAUUUGUGCAUUACUAGAAAACAUCAAGUAUUAUGAAACAGAGGGAAUAUAAUAGAAGAUCGACGUGUCAUCUUUGGCGGUUUGGGUCCUAGAUUAUCAUAUUAAACUUGGUGAGAUGCUCUUAGCUUGAAGAUUGCUUAGGGUAAAUUUUGUUGCAGGGUUUGUGAACGGGGAAAAGAUUUGUAUUUGGAGGGUGCAACGUGUAUCAACGUGCAAAGUGUUCCAAAAAAAACAAAAAAGAUAAGACUUGUAGUGUAAUAGAUAAUGUGUUGUAAUGUUAUGGUUCCUUUGGGUUCAACUGGUAUGAAAUGAAGAUAGAAUCGAACUUAAGAUUUUGGGGAUUAAAGGAAAUUUAGUAAAAUAUUAAUAAAAAAUCUUACAAGUAUAAGAGUCUAUUUCUAUAUAAAUUAUUUUAGGGGUAAUAAAUAAUUUAGUUAUAAUUUCAAUUUAUUUUUAUAUAACCCUAUAUUUGAUAAAUUAUUUCUUAAAUUUUAAAAGUCAUAGGCUAAUAUUUAUGCCAAUCACGUCUUGAGAGUAGAUAGUGGAAAUUACUACUAUUAGUCAAAGGGUUUGGAGGAACGAACUACAAGGCAAUGUUCCAUGGUAACGUACAAUGGGAAGAGAACUUGUAAUAUUUUGGGACGGGUUUAGCAUCCUAAAAUUAAAUAUGUAAAAAUUGGAUACUCACCCACUUUUAUAAAUAAUUGAUGUUUUACCUUUUAAUUUGUAUAUAAAAUUCAUGUUUUAAUUUUAAUCAAUGCAUUUUACUUUAAAACUAGACCAUAGAUUAAAAUUUAAAAAUAUGAGUGGAAAUGUUUUAUUGCGAAGAAAAUAAAAUAAUCAAAACUAAUUAAUAAAAAAUAAGUAUUGACUAAAUAAAAACUUAAUAAUAAAAGUAUCAUUGUUUAAUAUAUAUAAAUAUAUACACUUAUUGUAAAUAUCUAGUCAACUAAAAAAAUGAAAUAUAUGAAAAAUUACUAUAAAUUAUACUAAAAUUUUGCCAUAAUUAGAAAAAUUAGUAAUUAAUCUCACUUUUUCAAUUUAAUAUUAUUUUGUAAGGAUAUCUAGUGUUACUGAAAAUAUAUAUUUUUCAUAAAUAUAGGGAUAUUUCUGUUUUUAUUUCAGAAUGUAACUAGUUUUUAUAUAAACUAACUAGUUGAUUUAACCAUCCACAAUCUUCUUCUCGCGCCUCUAUUUUCUUCUUCCACCUUCACAAACCUUUGAAAAACGUUUCAUUGCAGUUUUAAAUUGGGAAAAUGUGGAGAAAUACACCUAUAUAAGAUUUUAAUUUGAAAACUAUAUCAUUGUUUAAUUUUUUUGAAAAAUGCACUUUUGCUUAUAUGAAUUUACUAAAUUAUCCGAUAUGAAUAUUUAUCAUCAGAAUUUAUUUAAUAUUAAAUAAAGGCUCAUUUGGGUGAAUAACCAAAACAAGAAUGGAAAUUAGGUAAGUGGACAUUUUUUUUAUUAAUUGGCAAACCAGGAGAAACAACUGUAUGAAAAGUCCAUAUUAACCUUGUUGUAAUCAAAGGAAUCCAUUUCUAUUUUACUUGCUACCGGCUACUUCCAUUAACUGGCCAAUAGGGUUUUUCAUUGAUGUUUUUCUUCUUUUUCGACUAUUUCUCACAGAUUUACCGUCGACAGUUUUACCGUGGCCAGUAAGCAUACACGACAGUUUGCUCUUCCUUGCCAAGCUUUAGGUUGCUGCUUCUCCAAUCUCUUCCCCAUCCCCAAAUCCAUUCUAUAUUUUGAAUUACAAAAUUUAGGAUUACUUUUAAGAUCGCCGUCGCCAGAGGCCGUUGCGGCGCCCCCAUGAUCUGAUUUCUUUAUGGCUUCUGAUCUUCUCAUCC
This 2380-nucleotide long non-coding RNA is filed under the name Brassica napus (rape). Its description in RNAcentral is "long non-coding RNA (BNAP_LNC007912)". The record is from RNAcentral. Lineage: Eukaryota; Viridiplantae; Streptophyta; Magnoliopsida; Brassicales; Brassicaceae.